This is a long non-coding RNA of Amphiprion ocellaris (clown anemonefish), 2653 nucleotides long. RefSeq lists it as uncharacterized. The transcript is spliced from 5 exons. NCBI's taxonomy places the organism in Eukaryota, Metazoa, Chordata, Actinopteri, Pomacentridae. The record is from RefSeq and is a predicted model, not a curated record.
CGCAAAGUGAAAUUCACAAAAUUGGGACGUUUUGACACGUUAAAGGAAACAUGUUGAAGAAAAAACAAAGAGUCAGGAGCACCAGAGUUUGAUGGGCCGUCCCAGACGCCAGUUGACAUUUUGUCCCCAGUCCGACCGGAUGCCGCAUAAAAAAUUCACUCAGGCGAGAAGCCAGGAGGAAUACCCAGCUCCCUCCUCACCCAGUGUGUGCCUCUCAGUGGGGAGUGCAAGGUGACCGGUCAGGUGACGGGCGAGCUGCUCCAUGAACCGGGACGAGGGGGCCUACACCCUCUAAUACCUGGGAUUCCAUCCUCCAGAGAGCACCUGGCGGCGGGGGGCGUGGCCUAUCUGACAGAUUCUGACAGAUCUGUCAGACCGGUCACCUGAUAAAAAAAGGACACGUCAGCACACGUCGGAUGACGCUCUGAAGAAGACUGCAGUUGCAGUUGAAACAUGUCAGCUAAGGAGAUCCCUGUUAAUGCUGUAAACAACGAGCAGUAAAUGAUGUGACAAAGUACUGUUGUGGCUGGUAGACGUUUACUGCACCAGGGCGCAUACGUUUCAUGAAAUAGUUUGUGUAUCUUGUGUUGGAGAGUGGGAGGGUGCUGAGAGGAGAAGAUGGAGAUCUAAAGAGAAAGCAAUGGAUGCAACUGUGGAGGACAAAUGUGGAGAGAAAAAAAGCCUUGAGAGGGCUUGAGCAGAAGAAGAGGAGGAGAUGAGGAGGACUAGGUGAGGAAGAGGACAAGAAGUGCUCUCCCUCUCAGCCAGCCGGAUGGGGAGAAAAAGAGUGACGAGGGAGAACGCAAGAGGAGGAGGCGAAGGCGUAGCAAAAGAGCUGGAGAGACUGUGAGUGUGUGUGUGAGGGCUAAGUGAGGCCUUUAUAAAUGAAAGCAGAUGCCUGGCAUUAUGAACUUGUCGGGUCGCAGAUGGGGAUGGCGGUGAUGGAGCACUUGACUCCCCGGAUGGUUAUCACUCACUCUCCUCCUCCUCUUGCCUCUCAACUGCCUUCCCCAUUUCUCUGAGGGUGAGAGGGAGAAACAGGGAGAAACGGGACUAGAUGUAAAGAAAAAGAGAUGGUGAGAGUAUCCAUACACUGCAAGACAUAAGAGAACAAGUAGGUGGACUUUUCAGUUAGUGAUUAGUAGCCCUAUUUAAAUAAAGACCAUGAAUACACUAUGAAGAAAAAAGCUUCAAGUCUUUUUCUUCCUUCUUCUUUUUCCUCAUUUGAUUGAUCUUGGUGUCGGUGUGCGGUGAUUGAUUGGAUUGCCUGCGGAACAUCAUCCCGCUAACUAGUCGCUCCGAGAAGAGUGUUUGUCACUGCCAUUGAUCUUCUUGUAAAUGAAAUGUUCCAUUUCCAGUGCAUUUUAUUGUUAAAUGCAGUUCAUUAGCUACUCUGAGAUUUAUGGAUGUGUCUCCUCUCUUGGGCGUGAAAAGGAAGAGAGAAGGACUUGAAAGAAACAGGAGUAGAAGGGGAGCAGGGUAGAGAUGAGCACUGGUGGUAUAGAGCUGCUGCGGACUUGAUAGAUAUGUCCCAAGUUUGCCAGGAGAUGAGAGAUAAUGAUGGUGAAGAGGAACUGAGCUUCCUGAUAUAGUGUAGUUACACUUCUUUUCCUUACUCUGGGAACUUCUACUCUAGCCUCAUAAAUACUCUUAACCCUAACAUAUUCAGUUCAACAAUUUAAGAAAUUUUGGGAAUAUUCUGCAUGUUUUCUAAUAUUGGUCUUGUUUGACUGGAAUACGUGAAAGUAAAGUGUUGUUGCUGGUUUUCUGCCAGCCACAACAGCUGUUUAGGAGUACGUACAUUAGAGAUGCAAUAACUUGUCGACUAGUUGUCAACUAUUAAUCAAAUCAUUGGUUUGUGUAUUUUUAUUUUAGAAAAAAAUUGAAAGUUCUCUGAUUUUACACUCCUCUUUUACAGUAAAUGAAAUAUCUUUGGGUUGUGGACAAAACAAGAUUUUUUUCUUCAAUGAACCACUAAUCAGCUGAGAAAAUAUUUGACAGAUUAAUCAACUGUAAAAUAAAUGUUCGUUGCAACACAGUAAUAAUUAGAUCUAUAUAUUCGAUAUAUACACACACACACACACACACACACAUUCUCUUUUAUUUCACUUUUUAACUUCUGGAACCACCACAACAACCACUAAAAAAAUCAUUAUAUUUGGUGAAGUGAAAUCAUUAGACUUUCUAAAGUGAAAAGCAUAAUCUUGAAGAAUAAGAAUCAGUGGGGUUCUAUCAGUGGCAUUGUUCAUACAGGUAAUGCUUAAUGGUACUUUCAUCUUAACCAUGCUCAUUGUACCAUUUUCUCCCCGUUUCUUUAUUAAAAAUCACAAAGGGACUGUGGUAUUUUGUAAAAUGUUGUAAAUGUUGUUCAGCGGACAGAAAAGAGAAUUAUAUUAGUUUAUCAUUGAUAUUUAUUUGAUUAAAAACUUUUACAGCAAAAGUUAAGCAUUGGCUGAAAGAAAAACAAGAAUGUACCUAGCUAUGACAUCUAAAAGGUCCGACUGACUGUGGAUUGUGUCAUUGUGCAUGUUUGUGUGUGGGUGGAGGUUAAAGGAUUUUUAAUGUUGUCUGUGCUGUUUUUAUUUGUGUUGUUGAUCUUUUGACUACUUUUACUUAAAAGCCCAACCAGGGAUGGGAGUUGCAAAUUAGCUCA